RNAcentral lists this ribosomal RNA (214 nucleotides) under Pantoea agglomerans. RNAcentral's name for it is "partial 16S ribosomal RNA". It matches the Rfam family "Bacterial small subunit ribosomal RNA", at positions 1 to 215 of the family's 1533-position model. Lineage: Bacteria; Pseudomonadati; Pseudomonadota; Gammaproteobacteria; Enterobacterales; Erwiniaceae. RNAcentral also lists the same sequence under 3 other names. The record is from RNAcentral.
AAAUUGAAGAGUUUGAUCAUGGCUCAGAUUGAACGCUGGCGGCAGGCCUAACACAUGCAAGUCGGACGGUAGCACAGAGAGCUUGCUCUUGGGUGACGAGUGGCGGACGGGUGAGUAAUGUCUGGGGAUCUGCCCGAUAGAGGGGGAUAACCACUGGAAACGGUGGCUAAUACCGCAUAACGUCGCAAGACCAAAGAGGGGGACCUUCGGGCCU